This 253-nucleotide ribosomal RNA is filed under the name uncultured bacterium. Its description in RNAcentral is "partial 16S ribosomal RNA". It matches the Rfam family "Bacterial small subunit ribosomal RNA", at positions 524 to 776 of the family's 1533-position model. The record is from RNAcentral.
UACGGAGGGUGCAAGCGUUAUCCGGAAUCACUGGGUUUAAAGGGUGCGUAGGCGGGUUAGUAAGUCAGUGGUGAAAUCUUUCGGCUUAACCGGAAAAUUGCCAUUGAUACUGCUGAUCUUGAGUAUGUUUGAAGUGGGCGGAAUGUGGCGUGUAGCGGUGAAAUGCUUAGAUAUGCCACAGAACACCGAUUGCGAAGGCAGCUCACUAAACCAUCACUGACGCUGAGGCACGAAAGCGUGGGGAUCAAACAGG